CGUGUUUCUCAAAAACAUCACUUAUAUGAGGACAAAAUAGUCUUUUAUGCAAAACUUGAUCCAGUUGGAAGAAGGCGGCCACAUGGCAACCGCUAACUGGCUCUUGACCCUUCACACGAGUAAUGCUAAUUUAAACCAGAUCUGGACCAUUGGUUUUAAAUUAACGGCUGAGAUUGAUCAUCCUUUUCUAAAGACUUCUGGAAGGGGACGGUCGAGUCACUUCUUCUGUCUUUGGGUUUUUGAGAGACUUUUGAUUUUUUUUCUCCCUCUGAGUUGCUCUGAUUUUCUCUCUUCAUCUCCUUUUGGUUUUUCUUUCAAGAUCUCUCAAGAGAUCCAAAUCUUUACUGAAAACCUGUGUGAAUGAUGUUGCUAUAAUAACUUCUUUGGCUUGUGAAAAAAGCUGGUAACCUUUACAUUGGUUAGAUGUGGUUUUCAGUGUUUAGGUUACAAUAGAGCUUACGAUUUGGGAGAUCCACUUGGAUCAAUGACCAUAUCGUGUUCUGAUUUGAGUCUUGGAAUUUGUAAUCUCUCUUGGAUGUCUUUUGUGCACUAGCAGUGGGUUGAUCUCUGAGCCCCCAGAGUAGGCAUUAUUGCCUGAACUGGGUGAACAAUUUUGGUGUUGAUUUUCUUUUUUUCUUGCGUACUUGGCUAUUUUCAUUCUUGUUUAAUUGCCGUUUUUAGGGACAAAAUCCCUAACAGAAAAGAUUGAACUUGUGCAUCAGAUUGUUUCCAUGUUUCGCCAAAUUCAGCCAUGGAAUCUCCAUUGAAUAUAAAUUGCAUUUUAGUCCCUUCGUUUUUCUCUAUUUUUCUCUCAAAACCUUAUUUAAAGCAAAAUAAACAACAAUUAACAUUCAACAAUAAAAUUAACCCAAAAUUAUGCUACAAUUAUUCAAAAAGAAUUUCUUUAUUGAAG
RNAcentral lists this long non-coding RNA (913 nucleotides) under Olea europaea subsp. europaea. The record is from RNAcentral. Lineage: Eukaryota; Viridiplantae; Streptophyta; Magnoliopsida; Lamiales; Oleaceae.